UUACCAAAAACAUAGCUGAAAAAAAUUCAGGGUGAAACUGCCCAAUGAUUUUUAAUUAAAUAAUAGUAAAAGUAUUAUAAUAAAAUUUAAAGGACGCGGUAACUUGACUGUGAUAAUGUAGCAUAAUCACUCGCCAUUUAAUUGAUGGAUAGUAUGAAUGGUUAAACGAAUAUUACACUGUCUCAAAAAGAGAUUUUAUAAAAUUGAAAUAAUAGUUAAGAUGCUAUUUAAAAUUGUAAGACGAAAAGACCCUAUAGAGCUUAACUAUAUUAUCUUUUAAAAAAAUGAAAAAUAAAUUCUAAAAUAAAGAUAAAGGUAGUUUAGUUGGGGCGACUAUCUUCUAAAAAUAACGAAGAUAAACAAUAUUAAUAAUAUAAUUUAUUGUAUAAUUCAUAAAUUUAACAAUUACCAAAGUAGGUUAUAGUGACCCGUUAAAAUCUAAUAAAAAAUUUAACGAUAAAUAAAUAAAAGCUACCUUAGGGAUAACAGGAUAAUUUUAUUCUAGAGAUCUAAUCGAAAAUAAAGUUU
RNAcentral lists this ribosomal RNA (528 nucleotides) under Thecocodium quadratum. RNAcentral describes it as "partial 16S ribosomal RNA". It matches the Rfam family "Bacterial large subunit ribosomal RNA", at positions 1804 to 2519 of the family's 2925-position model. The record is from RNAcentral. Lineage: Eukaryota; Metazoa; Cnidaria; Hydrozoa; Anthoathecata; Ptilocodiidae.